This 97-nucleotide microRNA precursor is filed under the name Lytechinus variegatus (green sea urchin). RNAcentral describes it as "let-7 stem-loop (lva-let-7)". Its record names the gene lva-let-7. The stretch from base 10 to 88 matches the Rfam family "let-7 microRNA precursor family". From Rfam's summary of the family: This family represents the microRNAs (miRNA) let-7 and mir-98. let-7 was identified from a study of developmental timing in C. elegans, and was later shown to be part of a much larger class of non-coding RNAs termed miRNAs. The record is from miRBase by way of RNAcentral. Lineage: Eukaryota; Metazoa; Echinodermata; Echinoidea; Temnopleuroida; Toxopneustidae.
UGAAUGGUCCUUACGUGAGGUAGUAGGUUAUAUAGUUUUGGAGAUACACUCAAUGGCGAUAGCUAUACAGCCUGCUAGCUUUCCUUGGGCCAUUCAC